Molecule: non-coding RNA, 4648 nt
Organism: Arachis ipaensis
Lineage: Eukaryota; Viridiplantae; Streptophyta; Magnoliopsida; Fabales; Fabaceae
Source: RefSeq, a predicted model, not a curated record
GUUUUUUUUUUUAAAGGUUUGGUUUGGAUUUGGUUUAAAAUCCAAAUUUUGGAUUUUUUUUGCCCACCCCUACAUAAGACCUCCUUUGGCACCAUAUCGUACGCUUUUUCCAAAUUAAUAAACACCAUAUAUAGAUCCCGUUUAUUACUAUAAUACCUCUCCGUCAUCCUUCUUAACAGGUAUAUCGUUUCGGUCUUAUGGCGGAAUUGCCAUAAUUUACAGCAUCAGAAUUAAUUACAUAAUCUUCCCUUGUCAUUGCAACGACUCCCUCCUUUAAUUUCUCUCCCAAAGAUUUUGUUCCAAUCAAAUCUUUCUCGUUUUGGUUUGCCAAAAUUUCCUGUUUGGGAUUAUUCUGGUCAACAAUCCCCCACCUCCCUCUUGGUGGUUUUGGCAACCCAUAACCAUCUUUGACAGCACAUUUCCAUUGCAUCACUAAGCAUCUUCGGGCACCCAUCCACUUUGUGUUCAUAUCUCCCACAAUGGAAACAAAUUUGAUGGAGUCCUCCAUACUCCAAUCUGAAUUCUUUUCCCAAUGCUGAAAAUGAAGGAACCAACUUUUUCCUUAGGUCAACUUCCACGCAAAUGUGUGCAAAUUUUUCUCUAAAGUGUAUGAAAGUAAGUUCGUCCACCCUUAGCUUUGUGACUAUCGUUUUACCCACAUUUCGAAGGAAGUACUUAUUAUAUAAUUUCACCAGAAAAUUAGGGAUCUUAACCCAUACUACAACCUUCUGUACUUCAAUCUCCUGUGGGGUAAGCAAUGGCUUCCAUCUCUAGACUAACAUGUAGUGAUUUGCAAUGAUCCAUGGACCUUUGAAGAAUGCAUGCGUGUAACCUUCUUGGUUAAAGAACCAAACCAGACAAAAUUUCAUCAAGAUCCAUAACGCGGACAACUUCCUUCCUAGUCCAUCUCCUACUAAUCCAUUUUUCCAUGGUCAGUAGGUUAAACUUCUUUUCGAAAGAUUUAAUUAUAAGAGCUUGUUUCCAAGUCUACACCAUUCAUCAUAUUCCUCAAGUGAGACGUCUAGGAUUGUAUUUGGAUUGAAGGGAGUUUGGUUCUUUUCUCCGUGAUUCAUAAGCUCUUUAUCGGAAUCUUUAACCACCAUCUCAACAAUUUGUUUAAGAUUCAGCUUUCCAAGCCCAUCAUCUAGCAAUCUGUCCUUAUAGGACGUCUUAAGCUCCUUCGAAACAACAGCAUCGGACUCUAAAUUGUUCUUGAACGUGGGUAUAGCAUCUAGGGGUGGGCAAAAAAAAAUCCAAAAUUUGGAUUUUAAACCAAAUCCAAACCAAACCUUUAAAAAAAACCAGUUUUAAACAAAAAAAAAAUCCAAACCAAACCAAAUUUAUUUUAUAAUUUGGUUUUAAGUCCAAUCCAUUUAAACGGUUUUAAUCCGGAUCUGGAUCCAGAUCCAGAUUAAAAUCCAAAUCUCACAAAACCCUAAUUCUUAACUUUUGAUUCUCAAAAUCCCGAUCCAGAGCACCGUCAUGAUUCACGAAUCCUUUUCUCCUUCGCCCGCAGCCGCCAGCCAGCACCGCCGCACCGGAGCAGGCAACUGGCACUGCAGUUUCGUAGCUGCCACCACCACCACAAGCGCGUCGCACCACUGCUCUGUUCCGCCAUCCGCGGUUCCGCCGUCCGCCUUUUCUCGCCGUGACCCAGCUCUGUUCUUCUCCGUUCUCUGGGUACCCUCAAGCAAGGUUGUGUGGUUGUCCUUUGGUCAAGUGUUGACGGUGAUUUCUUAGAUGUAGAAGGCUAUCUUGAGGGAAGUUUAUAAGAAGAAGAAGUACACGUCAAGCUCUUGAUCUCCACCCUAAGAAGUAAGAAGACUAGAGCCAUUCGCAGAGGCUCACCAAGCACCAGGUUCUUUGUGAUUUAAGACCAAGAGAAUUAUACUAAGAGAAAUCAGCUACUAAGAAUAAGGGUUAGGGUAGUUAGAAGCUCAAUCAUAUGAUAUAUAAACUAAAAUUAUGAAGCUGUAUUGGUUGAGUUUGUGUUGCUGGAUUUGUGCUUGAUUAUGUUAUGGCGAAUGUUUAAUUGAUCUUUUGAAUAUGUGAUUUUAUCUAUAUAUAUGCUUUUGUAGUUUUGCCUUUUGUUGUUGUUCAUUAUUUUUUUUAUUUAUUUGUGUUUGCUUUAAAAAUAUAAUUGAACCUUGAAGAUUAUUUUACUAUCCGUGAAAGAUGUUGUCAGAAGUUCUAGCUUUUUUGAAGUUCUUUCAUUUCUCUAUCUAAAUCAUGUUGAUGAUGUAUCAAAAAGAUUGGCUGGCUGCUGGAGCAGAUCACAAAAUUAUUUUUAAAGAAGUACAUGUUUACUUUGCAAAGUACAUACCCUUUAUUCUUCUUAACUGAAGGAGGAUGUGAACUUUAUGUAGAUGUGAGAAGAAAUUCAUUAGAGGAGGCUCUAAAAUCUUUGCAUAGAACAUAGAUUGCAAGGAAUAGUCUUUGAAGUUAAAGAAAUUAAAUAUUUACUUAUUUAGAAAUCCUGAAGCUGUAAGCUAAGAAAGAAAUUAAAUAUUCUCUUAGAAGUUUUUGCUUAGAUAUAUUUGCAUUGCAAAUUGCACUACUAUUUCAUGUAUUUGAGAAAAAUAUGUCCAGUUAUUAUGAAUGUUGGCAAGAUAUAACGCUCUUAGAAGUAACAUAUUCCUGAAUUGUAAAACUUUAUUUUGUAUUGUGAUGUGAUAGAAAAAUGUGGCUGUUUUUUGGUUUUUUUCUUAGAUUUUGUACAAAACAAUUUAUUUAUUGUCUUUACUUUUGUGUUCUGAUUUAAGCUUGAAUUUGGAUUAUGCAAAUGAGUUUUAAAUUUGAUCAUUAAUAAUGUUUUAAAUUUAGAUAUACUAGGCUGCAUAUCCCUAAAGAAAUUUAUGAGUUAUAAAUAACGCUUCCCCUUUUGAAAAAUGGUGCCUUGUGCAGAAAGAAACUGAAUUCUGAUUCUGCAGCAGUAGAUUCUUGAGUACAUAACUCUCAAUUUAUAUGAAUUUUUUAUUUAAACACUGCUGCUGUCUUGCAAGAUAUAUGAACAUGCAUUAGUUUAUGAAUCAUGUUGAAGUUUUAUUGGUUUUAAAACUGAAUUUUUAGUUAAAAAAUCUGGUUUUAAAAUUGGAUUUUAUAAAAAAAAAAAACCGGAUUUUAGAUUUGGAUUUUAAGAAAAUGGAUUUAAAACCGGUUUUAUAUGUAAAACUGGAUUAAAAACCGGUUUUAUAUGUAAAAUUGGAUUUAAAACCGGUUUAUAAAUAAAACUGGAUUUAAAUUCUAAAAUCGGUUUAAAACCGGUUUUUGUUUUUCCAAACCGGUUUAAAACCGGUUUCUCUCUUCAAUCCAGUUCUGGUUUGGUUUCAUGAACCAUAAAACUGGUUCUGAAAUGGAUCCAGUUUGGAUUUAUAAAAAUCCAAACCAUGCCCAGCCCUAGUCUUAUGGAAGGUUUUAGAAAAGAAGAGAGUAAGGAGCGCAUAUAUUCGUGCAAUUAAAGACAUGUAUGAUGGGGCCACAACUAGUGUGAAGACUCAAGGUGGUGUGACAGAGGAAUUUUCUAUUGGUAUAGAAUUACACCAAGGAUCAUUCUUAUGUCCAUACCUUUUCACAUUAGUCUUGGAAGUACUCAUAGAGCACAUCCAAGAGCCUGUGCCAUGUGCAUGUUUUUUGCCCAUGAUAUCGUCAUUAUGAGAGAGUCAAGGGAAGACAUAAAAAAGAAGUUGGACUUAUGAAGAGAAGCUCUAGAAGUGUAUGGUAUGCGCAUAAACUGUAGCAAGACGGAAUAUAUACAAUGUAAGUUCAAUCUGAGGAGGGAAAACCCCAAUAUAGAGGUGAAGAUUGGAGAAAACAUCCUACGAAAAGUUAAAAGUUUUAAGUAUCUUGGAUACAUCAUUCAGGAUAAUGUAGAGAUUGAACAGGAUGUAAAUCAUAGGAUCCAAGCAGGUUGAUCAAAAUGGCGUUGGUUUUAUAUGUGAAAAAAUAGUGCAUUUCAAACUUAAAGGUAAAUUAUAUCGCACUGUAUAAGACCGGCUAUGCUUUAUGGUAUGAAGUGUUGGGCGGCCAAAGGGGAACACGAACAUAAGCUAACUGUGGCAAAGAUGAAGAUAUUGAGAUGGAUGAGUGGUCAUACGCGAUUGGAUAAAAUAAGGAACGAAGAUAUAAGGGAGAAAGUUGGAGUAACACCCAUUGUGAAAAAAUGGUAGAAUUGCCUCGGGUGGUUUGGAUAUGUGAGAAGAAGACCAACAGAACACCCAGUUAGGAGGGUGGAUGAGAUGGAAGAUGGAUAAGGAGUGAAAGGCAGAGGAAGACCUAAGAAGACUAUCUAUGAGGUGAUCAAACGAGAUCUACAUGUAAACGGUCUCUCUGUAGACAUGAUACAUGAUAGAGUUCAAUAGCGUCGUUUGAUUCAUGUAGUCGACCCACCUAGUGGAACAAGAUUUUGUUGUUAUUGUUGUUGUUGGUGGUAGUGGUGGUGGUAGUGAUGGUGUUGCUGUUGUUGUUGGUAUUGCUUUUGCUGUUGCUGCUAUAAAUUUUGGCAAUUCCAUUAAAGAUUCGGGAUGAGUCCAUUUGGACCUUGGAUGGUGGGAAAAAACCCCAAAGGAGAAACAAGCAAGGAUUAGAGAAUCAUAUCGCAAAUAAUAAGGAAGGAAAUUUUUCUACCCGUUUUGAGGCUCUAAGACGGGAU